CCUACGGGUGGCAGCAGUGAGGAAUAUUGGUCAAUGGGCGAGAGCCUGAACCAGCCAAGUCGCGUGAAGGAUGAAGGAUCUAUGAUUUGUAAACUUCUUUUGUAUGGGAAUAAAGUGAGGAACGUGUUCCUUUUUGUAUGUACCAUAUGAAUAAGCAUCGGCUAACUCCGUGCCAGCACCCGCGGUAAUACGGGGGAUGCGAGCGUUAUGCGGAUUGAUUGGGUUUAAAGGGUGCGUAGGCGUACUGUUAAGUCAGCGGUAAGACACCGGGGCUCAACCCCGGCGAGCCGUUGAAACUGGCUGUCUUGAGAUGUCGAGAGGUAUGCGGAAUGCGCAGUGUAGCGGUGAAAUGCUUAGAUAUUGCGCAGAACUCCGAUUGCGAAGGCAGCAUACCGGCGGCGAUCUGACGCUGAGGCACGAAAGCGUGGGUAUCGAACAGGAUUAGAUACCCCAGUAGUC
RNAcentral lists this ribosomal RNA (459 nucleotides) under uncultured bacterium. Its description in RNAcentral is "partial 16S ribosomal RNA". It matches the Rfam family "Bacterial small subunit ribosomal RNA", at positions 338 to 795 of the family's 1533-position model. The record is from RNAcentral.